This is a long non-coding RNA of Quercus lobata, 629 nucleotides long. RefSeq lists it as uncharacterized. The record is from RefSeq and is a predicted model, not a curated record. Lineage: Eukaryota; Viridiplantae; Streptophyta; Magnoliopsida; Fagales; Fagaceae. The transcript has 3 exons.
CCUACAAGCCAAAGGAUUCUCACUUUCUAUCUCUCUCUCUAAAAUUCUCUCUUAUUCUCACACACACGUACAAAUGCAAACGUUUUUUCUUUUUUCAGUGGCAUUUGUUUCCCUCUCUCUUCCUCUCUCUCUCUCUCUCUCUCUCUCUCACACAGAAAAACCUAAUUCCAUUUUUCCCGUAUGGUAGAUCGAUUUCCUUCGAUUUGGCUAUUCGGAUGGAAAAUUUCUCGAAUCUCGAGGCUUCGUCUGCCCUUACAGUAGAGUCACUCCCAAUAACCAAAAAUCUUGGUGAUGGAGUAUACUCUGUUUCAACAUGUAAACAAGGUGCACUUGAAGGAGUUGUUAUUGCAACUGGAGUACAUAAAUUAUUUGAAAAGGCAGUUCAUCUUGUGGAAACUACUACAAUCGAUGGACAUUUUUAGCGGGUAAUUUCAAUAUAUUAUUUUGGAUGAAAGUUUCACUUAGAAUCUCAAAGGCUGGUAAAAUGUUUAGAGCUGUGAUAUUUCUAAACAGUUUCAUCUUUUUUGCUUGGAGGUAAUGGGGUAAUGAUAGGUAACAAUGUGAAAGAGUUUUGCACUUGUUUUGUGAGAAUCUGUCAAUGUUUGGGUAUUUAAUGAGUUACCAUUUGC